RNAcentral lists this non-coding RNA (203 nucleotides) under Pediococcus acidilactici. RNAcentral describes it as "T-box sequence". It matches the Rfam family "T-box leader". Rfam says of the family: Uncharged tRNA acts as the effector for transcription antitermination of genes in the T-box leader family. T-boxes are found upstream of many aminoacyl-tRNA synthetase genes and some amino acid biosynthetic genes usually in Gram-positive bacteria. Lineage: Bacteria; Bacillati; Bacillota; Bacilli; Lactobacillales; Lactobacillaceae. The record is from RNAcentral.
UAAAUAUUACUGGUUAAAGAAGUAGUAACUAAAAGAUUACUGUCAGAGAACGGAUGGUUGGUGUGAAUCCGGAGUAACUUUUAGUGAACUCGUCUUUGUAAAUCUGUCCUUGAACUUUAAGUAGGGGAUGGCGUGUUCCGCGUUAUGGAUUUGAGUGUGCGUUAGCAAAACUAGGUGGUACCGCGGAAAUUUUCGUCCUAAAG